UUACGGGAGGCGACAGUGAGGAAUAUUGGGCAAUGGGCGCAAGCCUGACCCAGCCAUGCCGCGCGAAGGAUGAAGGCCCUAUGGGUUGUAAACUUCUUUUGUACGGGACGAAACUCUCGGUCGUGACCGGGAUUGACGGUACUGUAUGAAUAAGCAUCGGCUAACUCCGUGCCAGCAGCCGCGGUA
This 186-nucleotide ribosomal RNA is filed under the name uncultured bacterium. RNAcentral's name for it is "partial 16S ribosomal RNA". It matches the Rfam family "Bacterial small subunit ribosomal RNA", at positions 339 to 522 of the family's 1533-position model. The record is from RNAcentral.